Molecule: long non-coding RNA, 3948 nt
Organism: Mercurialis annua (annual mercury)
Lineage: Eukaryota; Viridiplantae; Streptophyta; Magnoliopsida; Malpighiales; Euphorbiaceae
Exons: 2
Source: RefSeq, a predicted model, not a curated record
CUAGCUAGAGGUGAAAUCAAGAGACAAAGACAAACAAUAUGACUGAUUAAAAAACUUGCAUUUUAAAAUUGCACCGACGUAUGGUAUUAGUUUAGCGAAAAGCCAUUCCGAGCUUUAGAAUAACAUUGCAUUUCUAGACUACACUACAGCUGACAGAAUUAACCAUUAGACAUAGUCUAGAGCCAUGGGACUUGUCCAUUUGAGUAUAUUUUGAGCCACCUUGAAUUUAAUAAUUAGCUAAGAUAAGAUUAAAAAAUGAUCCAGAAACACUAAACAAGAAACUCAAUAGAAUCAGAAUUCAGAAGUUAAUCCAGAGUUUGCAAAGUGCUGCAAGUCCAAAACUUAGGCGGGUGAGAUCAAUUAGGCCUUAACCUAAUAGAGCACAUACAACCUGCAAACCUCAUAGAAUGGACCUUACUCCGUACUCGAAAUUAGAAAACUAUGCUAAUUGAUUUCAAUUUCAUAGAUACUCGAAAUGCAGCUCUUUGUAUACAUGAAACAUAUAUGUAUGCAUGCACCUCAGGAGAUGCUCUUUUUGGCUGCCUGACUCGGUACUCCUUAAUCUACGACUCGCACCCGUCUUCUGCUCUUUGGAUUUUCCCCACAUCACAGCAUAGAAUCCAACAACAAUCACAAUUGCUCCAACAAAACUACAAUGUUUAGGUAAUAACGUUACUAAAGUAUCAUUUAUACUUGAAAAACAAUGACAUAACAAGGCAGGGAUGAAAUGAAUCCCGUUCAAUAACAUGAUCAGUCAAAUUCAUAACCACCUUAACGCUAGAACAAAAAAUUGUGGUAACCUACCUUCCAAGAUACAAGGUCUCGCUUAAGCAGACGGUUCCCACUGCAGCUGCAAUGACUAUGCCUAUGGGCUUGAACAUAGCAACAAAAACAGGCCCUGUCUGCCUCAGGCACCAUGUUGAAAUUCCAACUUGGAGUGCAGAGCCAAAAACUCCCUACAAUAUGACGGUGAAGAUUCUCAAUUUAUAGAAUGCUCUUUAGAAUAGUGUCCAUAUCAGAAUUAUAUGUGCUAAGUUGAAAUGCAAUGGCAGGAAUUCCUAUAUUCACAUUCACUAAAGCUCAUUAUGUUAGGUGCAGAAUAGAAUAAGCAAGUAUUAUUCGCUAACGAUAGGUUAUCUUAUCAACAUAAGAAAUGCAUUACGUUUAUUUACUUACCGAGUACAAAAUGGAAACAAAUCUUAUAUUAGGUCUUAAACUCCAAGAAGAAGGAUCUCGUUCAACAACCAAACAAACUAUUGCAGACAGAGUGGUCACAAAGAAGCAAUAAAAGAAGACAACAAUUAGCUCCGCCGAAUAUCUCUUGAGGAUCACUGCCUAAAAGGUUAAGAAUGCAAAAUUAGUAAAAUCUUCUAUUUCCAAAAAGUUCCCUUUCUGAGAAGGAUUUGAUCAACUUUACCUGUAUGAUAAUCCAUGCAGAAGUCAAGACACAAUCAAUUGCAAGUAGCAAUCCUCCAAUAAUCCAGUUUGAUGGUUGCAUAGAAAGUUGAUGAAAUGAAUUUAAAUUAGGUGUCAUGAAAAGCGGCGGACCUUUGUAAUAAGUUAAAAUGAACACUCCUCCAACUGAAAUUAUUGUUCCCAUGGAUUUAGCAAUGGAAGUAGAGGUUCUCCAGUCAAGUUUUUCCAUCCUAAAGCCAUAGAAUUAAUCAGUUUUAGCUCAUGCGUAGCAGUAAUUAUUUCAUUCUUAGCAGCAUUAGCAGUCUAUCAAUUGUUUCAGAAAAGGGCUUUUACUACCAUUUUGCUGAUCAUUACUCAUCUUCAAACCAUGAGUUCAGCAAAAAAUUAUGUUAGUGGAUAACAAUUUUCUUUUGUUGUUAUUCCUUCUUGGGAAAAAGAAAGUUCUUAAUGACAGGAAUUAGGAAAUCAAAUCCAUUAAGUUACAGUGCAGGACUCUUACAAUGAAGGCUGAGUAGAGAAGCUUCAAAGUACUAGAGCACUUAAAUUUGUUGUAGGGGUCGAGCUUAAUCAAACGAUUAUAGAUAAAUAAAACUAAGUAAAAACAAAGGUGACCUAAUUUACAACAAGUUAGCACACCGCUUCUCUUUCCAAGUUAUACCUCAAUCUUAUGAUAAGAAACACAAUGUCUUUAGUUUUAUUUUGAAGCUGCAUUCUCCCAAUAAACUACGGAUAAAACUUUGUGACUGUAAUAACAUAACCAAUAUGAUGUCUAUUCAGAAUUACUAAAUAAAGUAAGCAAUAUUUAACGAUUGUACUCUGAAGUUAGUAACUUUUAUCUUUGAAAUACUGAAUAGACUUUAGUUCUUGAUGAGGAAAAAAUGAAAAAACGCUUCACUUUCUUUGAUUUACUUAUACUGGAAGCAUACACGAGUCACAAGUGAUGUUCACAAUUGGUACAUGACGCAAGUUGAUUGGAAGAAUUUAUAUAGUCGGAUCGCAUUACUUAUUUGAAAAGUUUGUAUUUAAGAGCAUUGAUUUAUGAAUUUGCAGGGCAUUCGAAUGUACAAGCCAAGUCCAUGCUUUGUAAGGGAUGAGAACAUAGUCAGAGUCUAAUUUUAUUCCUUUUGGAGCUCAAUAGAAAAGGGAUCAUUUGUGUUUUGAAAAUUAAGAAGUAUAGUCUCCCUGAAAGUACAUAUACGGGAAUGGUUUAAGAGAAGGUGCUAUGACUAAUGAUUUAGUCAAUAGAUAAUGUUUACUCCAACGCAUUCUCACCAAAGCUUCCGAAAAAAAUCUUCUACGCAACAAUCAACCAGAAAACAUGCUGCUAAAACUUAAGGUAGAUGUCCACAAAACAAUCAAAUUUUCUAUGUUUUAUGCUGUCACUAUAAAUGCAAUACAUUCUGUAAUCUAACAUUUAAGUAAGCUAAGGUGAUGACAGCCUAAGUAGCACGGACACUUCAUUCAAUCGACAUUUCCCGAUUCAAAAACAUGUCUGAAAUUUGGCAUUUUGGACAUAAAACUUCAUUUUUUACAUAGAAAACUUUAAAAUAACAGUCUUUCGCCGUGUCCAAGUGUCAUGUUUAACCGUAUCCGUAUCUUUUCUAUCCGAAUAAUAUUAGUCAAGUAAUGCCAUUAAUUUCAAAAUACCCAUACCGUCUUCAGUAGUAACUAGAAUUCAAAGCAAUCAGAUAGAGUAAUGAAUCUAACCUGAAAGCAACAGCAAGUAUAAAGGUAAGACCAGGGACAAGAUUGAGAAUGGCAGUCCCAAGUGUAGGAGAACUAAGGUUAAUCCCAGCAUACCCAAAAAACUGAGCCAAGCACCUAAAAUUAAGCCAACACCAAUCAAGCCCAACACAAUAAAUUUCCUAAUCAAAAACAAAUUAAUCCACAAUUACAUACCCAAAUAAACCAAGCAAAAAGAAUCCACAAACAGUUGAAAAAGUCAGUGGAGGCCUCUCUGAUCUGCAAAUCAAUCACAAACAAUUAAAUAGUAAUAAAAAUAAAUAAAAUAAAUAAGAGUAUUACCUGUGAAAUAUCAAAGAAAUGGGGAGAAGAACCAGAGAAGCAAGGGCAUUAGAGUAAAAGACAAAGAUGAAGAUGCUCAUGCCUUUAGACAUGGCUACUUUGCUUAGAAUUAUGAGUCCAACUUGUGCAGUUUCUGCCAUUAUCAUCCCUAUAAAUGGUAAUGCUAAUUUGAUUUCCAUUUUUUUUAGUUUAAGUUCAGUCAUGUCCUAAUUAGUGUACACUGAGGAGUGAGUGUCCGGCCCGGAGAAGAUUUAGAGCAGACCAGUUUUUUUUGUAAUAAUUGAAGUAAGACCAGAGCAGUUUGAAUAUAGGGUCACGACAAGAUUCCAACAACUAAACAUUUAUAUUCCAGCGGAAUGGAAUCUCAUUGGUCUUGAAGAAAAUAGAAUCUCUGUUAUUCUUUGAUUGAGAAACUGUAGUGGUAGCAUUUUUACUUUUCAUUUGUUUCCUUUUUAGUGUUUAAACUUAAUUUUUAUUCAAUAUAGGCCUGAAACUAGCAAUUUUAAA